UGCUGGUGGUGAAGCGCUCCCUCUCAGAGCACUGGGUUCUGCCCGGGGUGAGCCCGCGCCCGCCGUCCCGGGGCCCUGCGCGCCUUUGUGCAUUCCACCCAGCGAAGGAGCA
Molecule: small nucleolar RNA, 112 nt
Filed under: Phocoena sinus (vaquita)
Lineage: Eukaryota; Metazoa; Chordata; Mammalia; Artiodactyla; Phocoenidae
Also listed under: 1 other name
Description: Z6 small nucleolar RNA (ENSPSNG00000012817.1)
Rfam family: Z6 small nucleolar RNA
About the family: Z6 belongs to the C/D class of snoRNA which contain the C (UGAUGA) and D (CUGA) box motifs.
Source: Rfam by way of RNAcentral